RNAcentral lists this transfer RNA (74 nucleotides) under Firmicutes bacterium CAG:345. It matches the Rfam family "tRNA". From Rfam's summary of the family: Transfer RNA (tRNA) molecules are approximately 80 nucleotides in length. Their secondary structure includes four short double-helical elements and three loops (D, anti-codon, and T loops). The record is from Rfam by way of RNAcentral. Lineage: Bacteria; Bacillati; Bacillota.
CGGGUGAUAGCGCAGCAUGGUAGCGCACUACCUUGGGGUGGUAGGGGUCGCGAGUUCAAAUCUCGCUCAUCCGA